AUUUAUAUGUUUAACUAAUCAAAGAAAAGCUUUGGCAUAAAUUAAAAUGGAUGAAAACAAGAAGAUUGAAGUGAACACAAAUUGCAUAAAGGAAGAUUUAAUGUAUUGCAUAAAAAAAAAAUUAAAAGAUUUCAUAAAAAGAAAACAGAAAUUAACUUGAACCUAGAACAGGGAUUGCAUGAAAGAAAAUUGCUAGAUUUCAUAAAAAGAAAAUUGAUUACGAAUAAAAAUGGAGAUUGGA
RNAcentral lists this long non-coding RNA (241 nucleotides) under Phoenix dactylifera (date palm). RNAcentral describes it as "long non-coding RNA (PDAC_LNC015746)". The record is from RNAcentral. Lineage: Eukaryota; Viridiplantae; Streptophyta; Magnoliopsida; Arecales; Arecaceae.